GACGAACGCUGGCGGCGUGCCUAAUACAUGCAAGUCGAGCGGACUGAAUGGGAGCUUGCUCUUGUUUGGUCAGCGGCGGACGGGUGAGUAACACGUGGGCAACCUGCCCGCAAGACCGGGAUAACUCCGGGAAACCGGAGCUAAUACCGGAUAACACCGAAGACCGCAUGGUCUUUGGUUGAAAGGCGGCGCAAGCUGCCACUUGCGGAUGGGCCCGCGGCGCAUUAGCUAGUUGGUGAGGUAACGGCUCACCAAGGCGACGAUGCGUAGCCGGCCUGAGAGGGUGACCGGCCACACUGGGACUGAGACACGGCCCAGACUCCUACGGGAGGCAGCAGUAGGGAAUCUUCCGCAAUGGGCGAAAGCCUGACGGAGCGACGCCGCGUGAGCGAAGAAGGCCUUCGGGUCGUAAAGCUCUGUUGUGAGGGACGAAGGAGCGCCGUUUGAAGAAGGCGGCGCGGUGACGGUACCUCACGAGGAAGCCCCGGCUAACUACGUG
RNAcentral lists this ribosomal RNA (499 nucleotides) under uncultured bacterium. Its description in RNAcentral is "partial 16S ribosomal RNA". It matches the Rfam family "Bacterial small subunit ribosomal RNA", at positions 28 to 507 of the family's 1533-position model. The record is from RNAcentral.